GGGCCUUGUACACACCGCCCGUCACACCACGAGAGUUUGUAACACCCGAAGUCGGUGAGGUAACCUUUUGGAGCCAGCCGCCUAAGGUGGGAUAGAUGAUUGGGGUGAAGUCGUAACAAGGUAGCCGUAUCGGAAGGUGCGGCUGGAUCACCUCCUUUCUAAGGAA
Molecule: ribosomal RNA, 166 nt
Filed under: Enterococcus faecium
Lineage: Bacteria; Bacillati; Bacillota; Bacilli; Lactobacillales; Enterococcaceae
Description: partial 16S ribosomal RNA
Rfam family: Bacterial small subunit ribosomal RNA
Source: RNAcentral